Molecule: ribosomal RNA, 1261 nt
Filed under: metagenome
Description: bacterial LSU rRNA
Rfam family: Bacterial large subunit ribosomal RNA
Source: RNAcentral
AUGCCUGUACCAUAACCGACACAGGUGGGUAGGUAGAGUAUACUAAGGGGCGCGAGAUAACUCUCUCUAAGGAACUCGGCAAAAUGACUCCGUAACUUCGGGAGAAGGAGUGCCUUAUUUAUAAGGUUGCAAUAACAAGAUCCAAGCAACUGUUUAUCAAAAACACAGGUCUCCGCUAAGUCGUAAGACGAUGUAUGGGGGCUGACGCCUGCCCAGUGCCAGAAGGUUAAAGAAGUUGGUUAGUGUAUGCGAAGCUGAUGACUGAAGCCCUGGUGAACGGCGGCCGUAACAAUAACGGUCCUAAGGUAGCGAAAUUCCUUGUCGGGUAAGUUCCGACCCGCACGAAAGGCGUAAUGAUUUGGAUACUGUCUCGGAGAGAGGCUCGGUGAAAUAGACUUGUCUGUGAAGAUGCGGACUACCUGCACCAGGACAGAAAGACCCUAUGAAGCUUUACUGUAACUUGAAAUUGGAAUUGGACUUUGCUUGCGCAGUAUAGGUGGGAAGCGUUGAAGAUAUUCUUGCGGGAGUAUUGGAGCUAUCAGUGAGAUACCACUCUUGUAAUGUUAGAUUUCUAACUUUGAACCAUAAUCUGGUCAAAGAACAGUUUCAGGUGGGCAGUUUGACUGGGGCGGUCGCCUCCCAAAUGGUAACGGAGGCGUACAAAGGUUUCCUCUGAACGGAUAGAAAUCGUAUCUAGAGUGUAAAGGCAUAAGGAAGCUUGACUGUGAGACCUACAAGUCGAGCAGGGACGAAAGUCGGUCUUAGUGAUCUGACGGUACUGAGUGGAAAGGCCGUCACUCAACGGAUAAAAGUUACUCUAGGAUAACAGGCUGAUCUCCCCCAAGAGUUCACAUCGACGGGGAGGUUUGGCACCUCGAUGUCGGCUCAUCGCAUCCUGGGGCGGUAGUACGUCCCAAGGGUUGGGCUGUUCGCCCAUGAAAGCGGUACGCGAGCUGGGUUCAGAACGUCGUGAGACAGUUCGGUCCAUAUCCGGUGUAGGCGUUAGAAUAUUGAGAGGAGCCUUCUUUAGUACGAGAGGACCGAGAAGGACACACCGCUGGUGUACCAGUUAUCGUGCCAACGGUAAACGCUGGGUAGCUAUGUGUGGAGUGGAUAACCGCUGAAAGCAUCUAAGUGGGAAGCCCACCUCAAGAUGAGUAUUCUCAUCACUAUAAGUGAGUAAGGUCACGGUAAGACUAACCGUUUGAUAGGCAUUAAGUGUAAAUGUAGUAAUGCAUGUGCUGAGAUGUCCUAACAGACC